This 1280-nucleotide ribosomal RNA is filed under the name Acanthamoeba lenticulata. Its description in RNAcentral is "SSU rRNA". It matches the Rfam family "Eukaryotic small subunit ribosomal RNA", at positions 15 to 1009 of the family's 1831-position model. Lineage: Eukaryota; Discosea; Longamoebia; Acanthamoebidae. The record is from RNAcentral.
UGCCAGUAGUCAUAUGCUUGUCUCAAAGAUUAAGCCAUGCAUGUCUAAGUAUAAGCUUGUUUUAUACGGCGAGACUGCGGAUGGCUCAUUAAAUCAGUUAUAGUUUAUUUGAUGGUCUCUUGACACGGCGCAAGCCGUAUCAUUUACUUGGAUAACUGUGGUAAUUCUAGAGCUAAUACAUGCGUAAAAUCUCGAGCGCGGGGGGUGGUCUUGGGGUGCAGGUGGCAACACUUGUGCUCCGUUCGGGCCAUCUUUGCAUGCGCGAAGGGAUGUAUUUAUUAGACACACAAACCAGCAUUCUUUUUACUGGUGAUUCAUAGUAACUCUUUCGGAUCGCAUUUAUAUCUUGCCUUGUGGAGAUGGCGACGAUUUCAUUCAAAUUUCUGCCCUAUCAACCUUCGAUGGUAGGAUAGAGGCCUACCAUGGUCGUAACGGGUAACGGAGAAUUAGGGUUCGAUUCCGGAGAGGGAGCCUGAGAAAUGGCUACCACUUCUAAGGAAGGCAGCAGGCGCGCAAAUUACCCAAUCCCGACACGGGGAGGUAGUGACAAUAAAUAACAAUACAUGCGCUCAACAAGAGUCGUGUAAUUGGAAUGAGUACAAUUUAAACCCCUUAACGAGUAACAAUUGGAGGGCAAGUCUGGUGCCAGCAGCCGCGGUAAUUCCAGCUCCAAUAGCGUAUAUUAAAGUUGUUGCAGUUAAAAAGCUCGUAGUUGGAUUUUGGGACGUGCAUUCACAUUCAUAAAGGUGUAAAAGCCUGUGGAAGCGUCUUACUGCUCUAUUGGCACUAGGUCACCUUCACGGGUGGUUUGGUGUCUCAAGGUAGUUUGGCGUUGCGGGCUCGGUCCAUCAGUGUGCCUCGCAAGGGGCCUCCAUUGGUGUGUUAACCGGCCCGCCCGUCCCCUCCUUCUGGAUUCCCGUUCCUGCUAUUGAUUUAGUGGGAACGUCACAGGGGGCUAGUCGUGUAAAAAGCGGCUGGUCUCUGGGGCCCAGAUCGUUUACCGUGAAAAAAUUAGAGUGUUCAAAGCGGGCAGAUAUUUUUCCUGCCACCGAAUACAUUAGCAUGGGAUAAUGGAAUAGGACCCUGACCUCCUAUUUUCAGUUGGUUUUGUUUACAGCGAGGUUAUAUCAGGGUAAUGAUUAAUAGGGAUAGUUGGGGGCAUUAAUAUUUAAUUGUCAGAGGUGAAAUUCUUGGAUUUAUGAAAGAUUAACUUCUGCGAAAGCGUUUGCCAAGGAUGUUUUCAUUAAUCAAGAACGAAAGUUAGGGGAUCGAAGACAAUC